AGAGUUAAAAAGUACGUGAAAUUGUUAAAAGGGAAACGCUUGAAAGCCAGUGACUUUUGAUAAUGGCCUGGGGAAUCAGCAGGGCUUCUGCACUGUGCAAUUCCCCGUGGGCAGGUCAGCGUCAGUUUCGGUUGUCGGACAAGACCCAUGGGAAUGUGACUUCCUCCUCGGAAGUGUUAUAGACCAGGGAGAUACGGCGACUGGGACUGAGGUCUGCAGCCAACUCCUUUCGAGGGGCUGGGGAACGCGUCGCUGGCGUUGGAUCCGUGUUAGACAGCUUGCUGACUGACUCGAGAUCCCAACACCAAUCGGCGUGCUUACCACACGUUUGGCUUAGGUCGCUGACUUAAUGGUCUUAAAUGACC
This 365-nucleotide non-coding RNA is filed under the name uncultured fungus. RNAcentral also lists the same sequence under 1 other name. Lineage: Eukaryota; Fungi. The record is from RNAcentral.